This 338-nucleotide long non-coding RNA is filed under the name Homo sapiens (human). RNAcentral describes it as "non-protein coding lnc-NRIP1-5:1". The record is from RNAcentral. Lineage: Eukaryota; Metazoa; Chordata; Mammalia; Primates; Hominidae.
UGUAUAGAAGAAGCUUUGUUCAGUUCCCACCUAUGAGUGAGAACAUGCAGUGUUUUGUUUCUCUUGGUUUUAAAAUCUAUGUCUCUUAACUGACCCUGGGAGUGGCUAAGGAAAGGUGCUUAGUCAUUAGAAUGUCCACCUAGUCGCCCAGCCAAACUGGCCCUACAGCCAAUAAAGCCAGACCCCUGUGUCCUUGCCCGUGGUGUGUGUCUAAGAUCUGUGGCUAGCGGCUCCAGCCUGGGUUGAGCAGCAGGAGAGAGCCACAGUGACCUCUGUUUGAGUAACCUGGCUGUGAGCCCUGACCCCUGGGUGGGGCUGGAGCAUUGCAGUCCAUGCCC